RNAcentral lists this ribosomal RNA (497 nucleotides) under uncultured bacterium. Its description in RNAcentral is "partial 16S ribosomal RNA". It matches the Rfam family "Bacterial small subunit ribosomal RNA", at positions 28 to 507 of the family's 1533-position model. The record is from RNAcentral.
GAUGAACGCUGGCGGCGUGCCUAAUACAUGCAAGUCGAGCGAACGGACGAGAAGCUCGCUUCUCUGAUGUUAGCGGUGGACGGGUGAGUAACACGUGGAUAACCUACCUAUAAGACUGGGAUAACUUCGGGAAACCGUAGCUAAUACCGGAUAAUAUUUUGAACCGCAUGGUUCAAAAGUGAAAGACGGUCUUGCUGUCACUUAUAGAUGGAUCCGCGCUGCAUUAUCUAGUUGGUAAGGUAACGGCUUACCAAGGCAACGAUGCAUAGCCGACCUGAGAGGGUGAUCGGCCACACUGGAACUGAGACACGGUCCAGACUCCUACGGGAGGCAGCAGUAGGGAAUCUUCCGCAAUGGGCGAAAGCCUGACGGAGCAACGCCGCGUGAGUGAUGAAGGUCUUCGGAUCGUAAAACUCUGUUAUUAGGGAAGAACAUAUGUGUAAGUAACUGUGCACAUCUUGACGGUACCUAAUCAGAAAGCCACGGCUAACUACGUG